This 271-nucleotide long non-coding RNA is filed under the name Zostera marina. RNAcentral describes it as "long non-coding RNA (ZMAR_LNC002890)". The record is from RNAcentral. Lineage: Eukaryota; Viridiplantae; Streptophyta; Magnoliopsida; Alismatales; Zosteraceae.
AGGAGUCAAGAUUCGCCUCAACAUUCUCGCGCUGGCGGUCAAGAUCGACGAUCAUCGAAUCUUUAAUUAAGACCUUAGCACGUUCAGCUGCUAAUUCCAGCUCUGCAGCCCCCAACUCUCCAUUGACUUUGGAGAUUUCCUGCUCCUUAUCUCUCAAGAGAUUCCUCUGAGCAGCCCAAUCCUCAGCCAACUUCUUAUUGGUGGCAGACAGAGUAGAGGCGUCUGAAGCUUUUUGCGCAACCUCGCCUUCCAGAUCUUUGCAACGGCGCUU